RNAcentral lists this long non-coding RNA (248 nucleotides) under Vigna radiata. RNAcentral describes it as "long non-coding RNA (VRAD_LNC013607)". Lineage: Eukaryota; Viridiplantae; Streptophyta; Magnoliopsida; Fabales; Fabaceae. The record is from RNAcentral.
GGAUAUUAAACAUUUUGCAAACCACAUCAAAUUCGCGUAUUUAGUUAAAGGUACUGCCUUAGGGUAGGCGUUGUGGGGGUGGUAACACCUUCCCCACACGUAAUCGACUUCCGAAACCAGAAUUUGGUUUUGUAGACCUUGCGUUAUCUUUUACGGUUUUUUCCAUAGUUUUCCAAAAUAAACUAUGGUGGCGACUCCAAAAUCUCUUUUUCAAAAAAUGUUUUCUUUUUUUGAUCGUCGUCCCGUCG